UUCUUUUAUAAUUAACACCCUCAAAAAUACACUAUUCACAUCAGUUUAGCAGCUCAGGUACAGAUAUUUUUCGCCUGCCCUUCUUAAUGUCCGUUUGAGCUCAAAUUUAACAGUCAGGCUCAGUUUUACUUAACUUAACGAAAGAAAUUUUAAUCUUCCAGUUUCGCCCCUGUUUGGUCACCGAAAGCUCUACCGAACUGUAAUCACUAGCAGAUAACAGUUGGAUUUUAUUUCCCACCUUCCGGGUGUCAGAAUGACAUGAAACUUUAAAUCUAGCCUCAUAAAAAUAAUUCUGACAUAUUCUCCAGUUUUUGUAAUUUUCUGAUACUGUACAUUUUCUGCUAAAAUAUCAGCCCCAUCUCUCACAGAAAAUUCUAAAUCUUCUGUUUUCGUUCCGAUUUCAGCACGAGACAUUUCUGACUUAUAUUUUACUCCACUAAAUCCAAUAAAAAUAGUAUCUCACACUAUUUUUAUUUAUUUUUACUUUUAUAUCAAAAUUCGGUAUGUUACACUGCCGAUGCAAUACCGGUACUCUCCCCUGCAGAGUUCAACCCGAGAGCAGCCCAAAUCCUUCAUUUU
Molecule: long non-coding RNA, 579 nt
Filed under: Ananas comosus (pineapple)
Lineage: Eukaryota; Viridiplantae; Streptophyta; Magnoliopsida; Poales; Bromeliaceae
Description: long non-coding RNA (ACOM_LNC021076)
Source: RNAcentral